CUGCGAUAGCGAAGAGGUCACACCCGUUCCCAUACCGAACACGGAAGUUAAGCUCUUCAGCGCCGAUGGUAGUCGGGGGUUUCCCCCUGUGAGAGUAGGACGCCGC
This 106-nucleotide ribosomal RNA is filed under the name Bacillus subtilis. Lineage: Bacteria; Bacillati; Bacillota; Bacilli; Caryophanales; Bacillaceae. The record is from RNAcentral.